GACGAACGCUGGCGGCGUGCUUAACACAUGCAAGUCGAACGGAAAGGCCCUGCUUUUGUGGGGUGCUCGAGUGGCGAACGGGUGAGUAACACGUGAGUAACCUGCCCUUGACUUUGGGAUAACUUCAGGAAACUGGGGCUAAUACCGGAUAGGAGCUCCUGCUGCAUGGUGGGGGUUGGAAAGUUUCGGCGGUUGGGGAUGGACUCGCGGCUUAUCAGCUUGUUGGUGGGGUAGUGGCUUACCAAGGCUUUGACGGGUAGCCGGCCUGAGAGGGUGACCGGCCACAUUGGGACUGAGAUACGGCCAAGACUCCUCCGGGAGGAAGCAGUGGGGAAUAUUGCACAAUGGGCGGAAGCCUGAUGCAGCAACGCCGCGUGCGGGAUGACGGCCUUCGGGUUGUAACCCGCUUUAGCAUGUGACGAAGCGUGAGUGACGGUAAUGGGUAAAGAAGCACCGGCUAACUACGUG
Molecule: ribosomal RNA, 468 nt
Filed under: uncultured bacterium
Lineage: Bacteria
Description: partial 16S ribosomal RNA
Rfam family: Bacterial small subunit ribosomal RNA
Source: RNAcentral